This 1014-nucleotide long non-coding RNA is filed under the name Coturnix japonica (Japanese quail). RNAcentral describes it as "lncRNA (ENSCJPG00005009053.1)". The record is from RNAcentral. Lineage: Eukaryota; Metazoa; Chordata; Aves; Galliformes; Phasianidae.
CCGACGGUUGUUUUUUCCCUCGGCGUAAUGAUUCCAGCAGGUGCUUUUCCUGCUCGAGAGCCGAAAAUAGAGCCCAGGGUUUGGCUUCCUUCGGUUCCCGUCCUUUCGGUUCCCGGAAACCCAUUCCAUUGCAAUCUGUGGGUGUUUGGAUAGAGGAAAAUCCAUCCUAGAGAUAGAUUUUUUACCUGGGCUAUACCAGCCCUGCUUGCCCUCAGUGUCCACCCCAUCAGGAGCCCCAGGUCCGUGCCUUGGAGUGGUUUAUCCCUUGUAUUUCCCUUGCAGGAGGUGCUCUUGCCUGGCGCCAGUGUCACUUCUGGUCCCUUUGGCCCCAUCGACUUUAUUGCUUUUGAGGACGGAAGCUGUAACACGCUGUAAUAUUUUGGGAAGGCAGAGCAGACGUGAGAUCAGGUUUCACCUCUUUCAUCCCCGCAGAAAAACACAAAGGACGGGGGUCUGGGGGGAGCUUCCUUCCCCUGCCCUGUCCCCACGCUCCACCCAUAGAGAUGGACUCCAGCAAACACAGCUUUGGCUGGAGCUCCUGGUGGGGAAUAUCUGCUGCCCUCCUGCACUCAGUGCUGGGAUCUGCCUGUAUGGAGUGGAAGGAACUGUUGGGGAUAACCCCACUCAUGGUCCCAACUUGCACGCCCAGGCAUGGAGGAAAUUAAAGCUCAUUCUCACAGAUGCCUUCAAAAUGCAUCUGAGGUCUCUGCUCUGCAAUCUCCCCACAUCACAUAGCAUCACAUCCCAUCUCAUCCCCAAAUCCCAUCCCAUCUUACCCCCAAAUCCCAUCCUAUCCCAUCUUACCCCAAAUCCCACCCCAUCUUACCCCCAGGCCCCGUCCCACAAUGGUGGUGAGCUCUGAGUAAUGCAUUUACCACCUCCCAAGGCACAAAUUCAGCCCCAAACCCUCCCAGCCCAUAGCAAAGAAAGACAGGAGAAACCCCAGAGACUUCUUAUGGGAACGUCACUACCAAACAGUGCGGUGUUGUUCCAUGCAGUGCAACAAUCCCAAGU